GGCGUUGUGGCAGAGCCCGUCUUAUUGCACCUGACUUGAAAUCAGACUAUCGGAAACGGUACGUGAGUUCGAAUCUCACCGGCGCCUC
This 88-nucleotide transfer RNA is filed under the name compost metagenome. RNAcentral describes it as "tRNA-Ser". It matches the Rfam family "tRNA". From Rfam's summary of the family: Transfer RNA (tRNA) molecules are approximately 80 nucleotides in length. Their secondary structure includes four short double-helical elements and three loops (D, anti-codon, and T loops). The record is from RNAcentral.